UAUCUUACAGCAGGGAGAAUGCCUGAAGUGUUCUCAAAAAAUAUUGUGAUAAACUACCAUCCUAAAGCAGAAAGGGGCCUGAUUACUCAAUGCAGGGAGAAGCUUUUUAAGACAUGGGUAUAAUCAUUGAAGAGACAUGCUGAUGGUGUAAGGAUCAACUUAGGAGAGGCUGUCUGACUGUGGAGCAAGAGACCAGAGGUCCAAUCAGGUGCUGAAAAUAGCCAGUUAUUUCUCAAGGGCUGCACAAAGAAACCUCUGCCCUUCCCUCUGGACCUUCAGUUACCACCCCCUUGGGAGAAGUCUGUUGUCCUAAUCCCACUCCACCCCCAGGAUUAUAGACUUAAUUCCUACUCUCCUGCUGGGGCUUGUUCUAGUCCCAGGUCUCAGACACCUAACCCUCAAGCUUGAGGUACUCAAAGUCUCCAAGAGGGACACUGGGAGGGAGUUCACAAGAGAAGGCUGAAAAAAAACCAUCAGAUGCUGGUAUAAUUGAUAUGGAUACUUUUGGGUCCAUUAUUAUGUUAUUUAAAAACAAGAUCUAAGCUGUGUGUAGAUAUACUUUAUGCACUAUGUAGAUUUCACUAACAUUGUAAUUUUCCCUUCUGCUUUUUAAAAAGUCAUGUUUGAUUAAAACUAAA
Panthera uncia (snow leopard) is the source of this 638-nucleotide long non-coding RNA. RefSeq lists it as uncharacterized. The record is from RefSeq and is a predicted model, not a curated record. The transcript has 3 exons. NCBI's taxonomy places the organism in Eukaryota, Metazoa, Chordata, Mammalia, Carnivora, Felidae.